Molecule: ribosomal RNA, 490 nt
Filed under: Brevundimonas sp. 2Ss2
Lineage: Bacteria; Pseudomonadati; Pseudomonadota; Alphaproteobacteria; Caulobacterales; Caulobacteraceae
Description: bacterial SSU rRNA
Rfam family: Bacterial small subunit ribosomal RNA
Source: RNAcentral
GGCGGACGGGUGAGUAACACGUGGGAACGUGCCUUUAGGUUCGGAAUAGCUCCUGGAAACGGGUGGUAAUGCCGAAUGUGCCCUUCGGGGGAAAGAUUUAUCGCCUUUAGAGCGGCCCGCGUCUGAUUAGCUAGUUGGUGAGGUAAAGGCUCACCAAGGCUACGAUCAGUAGCUGGUCUGAGAGGAUGACCAGCCACAUUGGGACUGAGACACGGCCCAAACUCCUACGGGAGGCAGCAGUGGGGAAUCUUGCGCAAUGGGCGAAAGCCUGACGCAGCCAUGCCGCGUGAAUGAUGAAGGUCUUAGGAUUGUAAAAUUCUUUCAGUAGGGACGAUAAUGACGGUACCUACAGAAGAAGCCCCGGCUAACUUCGUGCCAGCAGCCGCGGUAAUACGAAGGGGGCUAGCGUUGCUCGGAAUUACUGGGCGUAAAGGGAGCGUAGGCGGACAUUUAAGUCAGGGGUGAAAUCCCAGAGCUCAACUCUGGAACU